AAGGACAUGACUUACAUAAUAAACCGGGUGCUGCUUACCCCCAACUUCACGUACCAAGACCGCUCUAAUUGCCAAUGAACUAGCUGCUAGGUACAGAUAUAAAGGUUCGGCAGGAAUGGGCUUCACCAGCAAAGGCGCCGAAGAUAAGUAGGACUUGAUGCUUUGAAAGGCGUCUUCACACUCAGAAGUCCAUUGGAACGUUUUUGCAUUCUUCGGCCCUUUCAAUGUGUU
RNAcentral lists this long non-coding RNA (231 nucleotides) under Panax ginseng (ginseng). Its description in RNAcentral is "long non-coding RNA (PGIN_LNC005198)". Lineage: Eukaryota; Viridiplantae; Streptophyta; Magnoliopsida; Apiales; Araliaceae. The record is from RNAcentral.